AGUGAACGCUGGCGGUAGGCCUAACACAUGCAAGUCGAACGGCAGCACAGUAAGAGCUUGCUCUUACGGGUGGCGAGUGGCGGACGGGUGAGGAAUACAUCGGAAUCUACUUUUUCGUGGGGGUUAACGUAGGGAAACUUACGCUAAUACCGCAUACGACCUACGGGUGAAAGCAGGGGAUCUUCGGACCUUGCGCGAUUGAAUGAGCCGAUGUCGGAUUAGCUAGUUGGCGGGGUAAAGGCCCACCAAGGCGAGGAUCCGUAGCUGGUCUGAGAGGAUGGUCAGCCACACUGGAACUGAGACACGGUCCAGACUCCUACGGGAGGCAGCAGUGGGGAAUAUUGGACAAUGGGCGCAAGCCUGAUCCAGCCAUACCGCGUGGGUGAAGAAGGCCUUCGGGUUGUAAAGCCCUUUUGUUGGGAAAGAAAAGCAGCAGGUUAAUACCCCGCUGUUCUGACGGUACCCAAAGAAUAAGCACCGGCUAACUUCGUG
RNAcentral lists this ribosomal RNA (492 nucleotides) under uncultured bacterium. RNAcentral's name for it is "partial 16S ribosomal RNA". It matches the Rfam family "Bacterial small subunit ribosomal RNA", at positions 29 to 507 of the family's 1533-position model. The record is from RNAcentral.